UUUGUCUGGGCCAUAGUUUUUCUCGUUCUGGAUCUCUCUACACGGUUAAGUGUUUGAUUGGAAAAUCAAUAACAGAGCCGAAGCUCUGAUACCAAUUGAAGGUGAGAAAAACAAGAAAGGGGGGUUUGAAUUGUUUUGGAAAAUAAGCGCUUCUUGCAAAAUAAAAUCACACAAGAUUUUAUACUGGUUCACUUAUAACACAAAACUACUCCAGUCCACCCGGCCAAG
This 228-nucleotide long non-coding RNA is filed under the name Lathyrus oleraceus (garden pea). RNAcentral's name for it is "Pisum sativum (pea) long non-coding RNA (PSAT_LNC015399)". Lineage: Eukaryota; Viridiplantae; Streptophyta; Magnoliopsida; Fabales; Fabaceae. The record is from RNAcentral.